This 512-nucleotide ribosomal RNA is filed under the name uncultured bacterium. RNAcentral describes it as "partial 16S ribosomal RNA". It matches the Rfam family "Bacterial small subunit ribosomal RNA", at positions 28 to 523 of the family's 1533-position model. The record is from RNAcentral.
GACGAACGCUGGCGGCGUGCCUAAUACAUGCAAGUCGAGCGAAUCAAUAGGAGCUUGCUCCUGUUGAUUAGCGGCGGACGGGUGAGUAACACGUGGGCAGCCUGCCUGUAAGAUCGGGAUAACUUCGGGAAACCGGAGCUAAUACCGGAUAAUCCUUUUCCACAUAUGUGGGAAAGCUGAAAGACGGUUUCGGCUGUCACUUACAGAUGGGCCCGCGGCGCAUUAGCUAGUUGGUGAGGUAACGGCUCACCAAGGCGACGAUGCGUAGCCGACCGGAGAGGGUGAUCGGCCACACUGGGACUGAGACACGGCCCAGACUCCUACGGGAGGCAGCAGUAGGGAAUCUUCCGCAAUGGACGAAAGUCUGACGGAGCAACGCCGCGUGAGCGAUGAAGGCCUUCGGGUCGUAAAGCUCUGUUGUUAGGGAAGAACAAGUAUCGGAGUAACUGCCGGUACCUUGACGGUACCUAACCAGAAAGCCACGGCUAACUACGUGCCAGCAGCCGCCGCGG